Molecule: ribosomal RNA, 594 nt
Filed under: uncultured Brevundimonas sp.
Lineage: Bacteria; Pseudomonadati; Pseudomonadota; Alphaproteobacteria; Caulobacterales; Caulobacteraceae
Description: bacterial SSU rRNA
Rfam family: Bacterial small subunit ribosomal RNA
Source: RNAcentral
GUGGGAACGUGCCUUUAGGUUCGGAAUAACUCAGGGAAACUUGUGCUAAUACCGAAUGUGCCCUUCGGGGGAAAGAUUUAUCGCCUUUAGAGCGGCCCGCGUCUGAUUAGCUAGUUGGUGGGGUAAUGGCCCACCAAGGCUACGAUCAGUAGCUGGUCUGAGAGGAUGACCAGCCACAUUGGGACUGAGACACGGCCCAAACUCCUACGGGAGGCAGCAGUGGGGAAUCUUGCGCAAUGGGCGAAAGCCUGACGCAGCCAUGCCGCGUGGAUGAUGAAGGUCUUAGGAUUGUAAAAUCCUUUCACCGGUGAAGAUAAUGACUGUAGCCGGAGAAGAAGCCCCGGCUAACUUCGUGCCAGCAGCCGCGGUAAUACGAAGGGGGCUAGCGUUGCUCGGAAUUACUGGGCGUAAAGGGAGCGUAGGCGGACAUUUAAGUCAGGGGUGAAAUCCCAGAGCUCAACUCUGGAACUGCCUUUGAUACUGGAUGUCUUGAGUGUGAGAGAGGUAAGUGGAACUCCGAGUGUAGAGGUGAAAUUCGUAGAUAUUCGGAAGAACACCAGUGGCGAAGGCGACUUACUAGCUCAUUACUGACGC